This 214-nucleotide long non-coding RNA is filed under the name Malus domestica (apple). RNAcentral's name for it is "long non-coding RNA (MDOM_LNC019662)". Lineage: Eukaryota; Viridiplantae; Streptophyta; Magnoliopsida; Rosales; Rosaceae. The record is from RNAcentral.
UUCUUUUAUGCAAUUUUGGAGACAGAGAAGUGCUAGGGUUUUGAAGAUUUUCUACUUGAAGGUGUUUUCAAUCCUUGUCUUAAUAGAUAUUUCUAUGAUUUCAAUUAUGAAUAUGCGGAACUAAUUUCUUUUGCUAGGGCAAAGCCUUGAGCCUUAGCAUGAAUAUGUGAUUUUUAUUUAAUUGCUUAUGAUCGAUUGCAUGCGUACUUUGAAU